AAUGAACGCUGGCGGCAUGCCUAACACAUGCAAGUCGAACGAGACCUUCGGGUCUAGUGGCGCACGGGUGCGUAACGCGUGGGAAUCUGCCCUUGGGUUCGGAAUAACAGUUAGAAAUGACUGCUAAUACCGAAUGAUGUCGUAAGACCAAAGAUUCAUCGCCCAGGGAUGAGCCCGCGUAGGAUUAGCUAGUUGGUGGGGUAACGGCCCACCAAGCCAACGAUCAGAACUGGUGUGAGAGCACGACCAGUCACACGGGCACUGAGACACGGGCCCGACUCCUACGGGAGGCAGCAGUAAGGAAUAUUGGUCAAUGGACGAAAGUCUGAACCAGCCAUGCCGCGUGAAGGAUGAAGGCCCUCUGGGUUGUAAACUUCUUUUAUAGGGACGAAAAAGGGCAUUCUUGCUCACUUGACGGUACCCUAGGAAUAAGCACCGGCUAACUCCGUGCCA
RNAcentral lists this ribosomal RNA (453 nucleotides) under uncultured bacterium. RNAcentral describes it as "bacterial SSU rRNA". It matches the Rfam family "Bacterial small subunit ribosomal RNA", at positions 29 to 510 of the family's 1533-position model. The record is from RNAcentral.